Molecule: long non-coding RNA, 495 nt
Organism: Hemicordylus capensis (graceful crag lizard)
Lineage: Eukaryota; Metazoa; Chordata; Lepidosauria; Squamata; Cordylidae
Exons: 4
Source: RefSeq, a predicted model, not a curated record
GGAAGAGGAGGAGUGGGGCUGCCUCCUUACAAACAAGAGUUCUCAAGAGCAUGAGCAUGCUCCUGCUGUGCCUUGCCCCUCGGAGGUCUGCUUCAGUGCACCGACAAACCCAGGGGUUUGACCUGUCAGACUGCCAAAGUGCAAGGUUGGAACACGCUAGCAUCACUCUGGACUAAUCCCCAAACUGCAUUCUCCAGUAUAGCUGCAGAAAAGCUUUCCCUGUAUAUGGACAUGCACAAAUGCUUCUGCUGUGCCAGAGCGCCCCUCUACAGUAUAGAGCAUUCUCUCUGCUGCACACUGAGUCAACACUUUCAACGAGCUAUCCACCACAACCCAAAGAUCUCUCUCCAGGAAAAGAGCAGCAUAUUUUGAUGAUUACAUACUGAAAUCCCCUAAAGCUCUUUGUGUACUAUUGGCCGUAAUCACUGUGAUCCUUGGUUCUUCAGUGUAUCCCUGACUGAAUUUGCAGAGCCAUCUGUGACCCUAUUGCCAUGC